GAUGAACGCUGGCGGCGUGCUUAACACAUGCAAGUCGAACGGAAAGGCCCAAGCUUGCUUGGGUACUCGAGUGGCGAACGGGUGAGUAACACGUGGGUGAUCUGCCCUGCACUUCGGGAUAAGCCUGGGAAACUGGGUCUAAUACCGGAUAGGACGAUGGUUUGGAUGCCAUUGUGGAAAGUUUUUUCGGUGUGGGAUGAGCUCGCGGCCUAUCAGCUUGUUGGUGGGGUAAUGGCCUACCAAGGCGUCGACGGGUAGCCGGCCUGAGAGGGUGUACGGCCACAUUGGGACUGAGAUACGGCCCAGACUCCUACGGGAGGCAGGAGUGGGGAAUAUUGCACAAUGGGGGCAAGCCUGAUGCAGCGACGCCGGGUGGGGGAUGACGGCCUUCGGGUUGUAAACUCCUUUCGCUAGGGACGAAGCGUUUUUGUGACGGUACCUGGAGAAGAAGCACCGGCUAACUACGUG
RNAcentral lists this ribosomal RNA (468 nucleotides) under uncultured bacterium. RNAcentral describes it as "partial 16S ribosomal RNA". It matches the Rfam family "Bacterial small subunit ribosomal RNA", at positions 28 to 507 of the family's 1533-position model. The record is from RNAcentral.